This 253-nucleotide ribosomal RNA is filed under the name uncultured bacterium. Its description in RNAcentral is "partial 16S ribosomal RNA". It matches the Rfam family "Bacterial small subunit ribosomal RNA", at positions 524 to 776 of the family's 1533-position model. The record is from RNAcentral.
UACGGAGGGUGCAAGCGUUAAUCGGAAUUACUGGGCGUAAAGCGCACGCAGGUGGCCGAGUCAGUCGAUUGUGAAAGCCCUGGGCUUAACCUGGGAAUUGCAGUCGAUACUACUUAGCUAGAGUAUGGGAGAGGGCAGUGGAAUUCCCGGUGUAGCGGUGAAAUGCGUAGAUAUCGGGAGGAACAUCAGUGGCGAAGGCGGCUGCCUGGCCCAAUACUGACACUCAGGUGCGACAGCGUGGGGAGCAAACAGG